GGGGAGUCAAUGCCGUAUGGAAGUAAGGAAGAAGCAUAUAAGAAUGCUACUACUUUGUCGUAUCUAACAGCUGAACAAGCACUGGCUGAUUAUGCUGUGUUAAUCAUUGAGCUUAAAAGAAAUUUAUCUGCACAGGCAUGCCCUGUUGUGUUAUUUGGUGGAUCAUAUGGUGGGAGUAAGUGAUGUAGCAUUCAGUAGUUU
Molecule: unclassified non-coding RNA, 201 nt
Filed under: Hevea brasiliensis (rubber tree)
Lineage: Eukaryota; Viridiplantae; Streptophyta; Magnoliopsida; Malpighiales; Euphorbiaceae
Source: RNAcentral